Molecule: ribosomal RNA, 464 nt
Filed under: uncultured bacterium
Lineage: Bacteria
Also listed under: 1 other name
Description: partial 16S ribosomal RNA
Rfam family: Bacterial small subunit ribosomal RNA
Source: RNAcentral
GACGAACGCUGGCGGCGUGCUUAACACAUGCAAGUCGAACGGAAAGGCCCUGCUUGCAGGGUACUCGAGUGGCGAACGGGUGAGUAACACGUGGGUGAUCUGCCCUGCACUUCGGGAUAAGCCUGGGAAACUGGGUCUAAUACCGGAUAGGAGCCAUUUUUAGUGUGAUGGUUGGAAAGUUUUUUCGGUGUAGGAUGAGCUCGCGGCCUAUCAGCUUGUUGGUGGGGUAAUGGCCUACCAAGGCGGCGACGGGUAGCCGGCCUGAGAGGGUGGACGGCCACAUUGGGACUGAGAUACGGCCCAGACUCCUACGGGAGGCAGCAGUGGGGAAUAUUGCACAAUGGGCGCAAGCCUGAUGCAGCGACGCCGCGUGGGGGAUGACGGCCUUCGGGUUGUAAACUCCUUUCGCUAGGGACGAAGCUUUUUGUGACGGUACCUAGAUAAGAAGCACCGGCUAACUACGU